UGCAGGUUGUAGAGCCAGUGAGGAGACAACCAGUAAGCAUUUCAGCUCCACAGAAACUAAACUAGAUCUUUGGAUUUGAAUGAAACAAUAAGAUUAUUUGAGAGACAUCUAAAAGGUAAAGCAAAUUUUUCCAUGAAAGAAAGCUUGGACAGAAAAUACGCUUGGUAAAUCAGUCUUCUAAAAGCUGCUGGAGAUCUCUAAGGGACGUACCCAGGGCCUGCAAUAUUAUGGGUCAAUACUUCAUGAAACAGAAGGUACUCUUGAUGCAAGGAUGGUAAGGGAUGUUUGGAAUCAGAAACAUAUAGUCACUCUGAGUAUGAUAGGAGAGAUGAAGAUAUGAUAUGAAGAACUAAAUAAAAAUAAAUUCUAAGAAUAUUAAGUUCACACUUUAUAUACUGCUCCAGUUAAAGGCAAUUUAGUGAGUUGUUAAAAGCCAGGCAUCUGGAGCCAGGCUGCCUGGGUUUAUCGCUCAGCUUUGCCACUUGGGUAAACAAACAAAACCACCUGUAAUCUUACUACUUAAAAAAAUACAAAGUAUUUACAGUAAAGUAUGAAAGCAAACCCAUACUCCAUUAACCAUUCUCCAUGUAAUAUGUAUCCUUCUCAACUUUUCCCCAAAAGUUAUACACGUCAGUAUAUAAUGGACAGAUGCAUAAUGCCAAUAAUACUGGUUUGGAAUUAAAAACAUCAUUCAGUGAUCUAACAUGAGCCAUGUAGUACAUACAUAUUCAUCUUGUAUGUACUAAUCAUCUUGUGUUACUGGCUAGGGGUCCCAAUCCAGACUCCAAGAGAGGGUUCUUGGAUCUCAUGCAGGAAAGAAUUCAGGAAGAGUCCCUAAAGUGAAAGCAAGGACAUUGGGAAAGUCCUAUAUCCCUAAAGGAAUAAAGAAUGGCUACUCCAUCGGCAGAGAAGCCCUGAAGGCUGCUGGUUGUCUAUUUUUAUGGUUAUUUCUUUAUCAUAUGGUAAACGAGGGGUGGGUUAUUCAAGCUUCCCCUUUUUAGACCAUAUAGGGUAACUUCUUGAUGUUGCCAUGGCAUUUGUAAAGUGUCACUUGACUUUGGUGGGAGUGUAGCAGUGAGGAUGAACAGAGUCACUCUCAUCGCAACCUUGGUUUUGGUGGGUUUUAGCCAGCUUAUUUACUGCAAUCUGUUUAAUCAGCAGUGUCUUUUUGACCCGUAUCUUUUGCCGACCUCCUAUCUCAUCCUGUGACUUAGAAUGCCUUAACCAUCUGGGAAUGCAGCCCAGGAGGUCUCAGCCUCAUUUUACCAAGCCCCUAUUCAAGAUGGAGUUGCUCUAGUUCAAACGCCUCUGACACUUGUAUGUACUAAGAUGGAUAUAGUAUUUUUUUGUCUUAUUAACUAUUGGUCUAUUUAAUAAACAUUUGUGUGUCUAUUAUUUUGCUAUUAUGAUAGUAAAGUGAAUGUCCUUGCACAUAAAUAUUAAUGUUAUUAUUUCUGUAGGUUAAAUUUCAACUGGGAUGAUAAAUCAAAAGAAACUGUUUAUUGAAUGAGAAAUAAGCUCCCACUCUAGGAUGAGAUGCAUCAUUGAGGAGCAGCCCCCUGGUUUUGGUGACAGAACUCCUACUGAAGGACAGUGCCCUGAGGAUGCUGUGGUGAGGUAUGCAUCCUGCUAGCUUGUUGAUACUGCUCCAUGCUCAUAAAACCAUCUGGGGUCCACGAGUAACAAAACCAUGAUCCAUAAUAACAAACAAACAAAAUGUUUGUUAGCAUGACAGCCAUCACAGGUCAUCCCAUCCCGAGGGAAGUGAUCCAGAGAUUACUUGUUUUUCCAUCAAGUGGGAGAUAGUAGAGGGCACCAGAAAUUUGGAAGAAAGAAAGAUGUUACCAGACCCCAGCACCUACCCAAAGUUAAUAUUAUCCCUUCAGUGGUUCAACAGAAAGAUGUUGACGGAAAAGCGUCCCGAUCCAGACUGCCCGUUUUUUUUUUUUUAAAAAUAGAGAUGGGGUCUCACUAUGUUGACCAGGCUGGUCUCGAAUUCCUGAGCUCAAGUGAUUCUCUCAUUUCUCACGAGGCUGUGGAGAAAUAGGAAUGCUUUUACACUGUUGGUGGGAGUGUAAAUUAGUUCAACCAUUGUGGAAGACAGUGUGGUGAUUCCUCAAGGAAGUAGAAUCAGAAAUACCAUUUGACCCAAUGAUCCC
Molecule: long non-coding RNA, 2159 nt
Filed under: Homo sapiens (human)
Lineage: Eukaryota; Metazoa; Chordata; Mammalia; Primates; Hominidae
Description: HSALNT0075117
Source: RNAcentral